This is a non-coding RNA of Schistosoma curassoni, 45 nucleotides long. NCBI's taxonomy places the organism in Eukaryota, Metazoa, Platyhelminthes, Trematoda, Strigeidida, Schistosomatidae. The record is from Rfam.
AUUCAGUUGAUGAGUCUGAAAUAGGACGAAACGUAAGUUCUGGAU